CCUACGGGUGGCAGCAGUGAGGAAUAUUGGGCAAUGGACGAGAGUCUGAACCAGCCAAGUAGCGUGAAGGAUGACUGCCCUAUGGGUUGUAAACUUCUUUUAUAUGGGAAUAAAAUGUUCCACGUGUGGGAUUUUGUAUGUACCAUAUGAAUAAGGAUCGGCUAACUCCGUGCCAGCAGCCGCGGUAAUACGGAGGGUCCGAGCGUUAUCCGGAUUUAUUGGGUUUAAAGGGAGCGUAGGUGGAGUGUUAAGUCAGUUGUGAAAGUUUGCGGCUCAACCGUAAAAUUGCAGUUGAAACUGGCAGUCUUGAGUACAGUAGAGGUGGGCGGAAUUCGUGGUGUAGCGGUGAAAUGCUUAGAUAUCACGAAGAACUCCGAUUGCGAAGGCAGUUCACUGGACUGCAACUGACACUGAGGCUCGAAAGUGUGGGUAUCAAACAGGAUUAGAUACCCUUGUAGUC
Molecule: ribosomal RNA, 460 nt
Filed under: uncultured bacterium
Lineage: Bacteria
Description: partial 16S ribosomal RNA
Rfam family: Bacterial small subunit ribosomal RNA
Source: RNAcentral